GAUGAACGCUGGCGGCGUGCCUAAUACAUGCAAGUCGAGCGAACGGACGAGAAGCUUGCUUCUCUGAUGUUAGCGGCGGACGGGUGAGUAACACGUGGAUAACCUACCUAUAAGACUGGGAUAACUUCGGGAAACCGGAGCUAAUACCGGAUAAUAUUUUGAACCGCAUGGUUCAAAAGUAAAAGACGGUCUUGCUGUCACUUAUAGAUGGAUCCGCGCUGCAUUAGCUAGUUGGUAAGGUAACGGCUUACCAAGGCAACGAUGCAUAGCCGACCUGAGAGGGUGAUCGGCCACACUGGAACUGAGACACGGUCCAGACUCCUACGGGAGGCAGCAGUAGGGAACCUUCCGCAAUGGGCGAAAGCCUGACGGAGCAACGCCGCGUGAGUGAUGAAGGUCUUCGGAUCGUAAAACUCUGUUAUUAGGGAAGAACAUAUGUGUAAGUAACUGUGCACAUCUUGACGGUACCUAAUCAGAAAGCCACGGCUAACUACGUG
Molecule: ribosomal RNA, 497 nt
Filed under: uncultured bacterium
Lineage: Bacteria
Description: partial 16S ribosomal RNA
Rfam family: Bacterial small subunit ribosomal RNA
Source: RNAcentral